This 301-nucleotide ribosomal RNA is filed under the name uncultured bacterium. Its description in RNAcentral is "partial 16S ribosomal RNA". It matches the Rfam family "Bacterial small subunit ribosomal RNA", at positions 509 to 809 of the family's 1533-position model. The record is from RNAcentral.
CAGUCGCCACGGGAAUACGUAGGUGGCAAGCGUUGUCCGGAAUUAUUGGGCGUAAAGCGCGCGCAGGCGGAUAGGUCAGUCUGUCUUAAAAGUUCGGGGCUUAACCCCGUGAUGGGAUGGAAACUGCCAAUCUAGAGUAUCGGAGAGGAAAGUGGAAUUCCUAGUGUAGCGGUGAAAUGCGUAGAUAUUAGGAAGAACACCAGUGGCGAAGGCGACUUUCUGGACGAAAACUGACGCUGAGGCGCGAAAGCCAGGGGAGCGAACGGGAUUAGAUACCCGCGUAGUCCCUGUCUCUUAUACA